This is a long non-coding RNA of Salvelinus sp. IW2-2015, 2563 nucleotides long. RefSeq lists it as uncharacterized. NCBI's taxonomy places the organism in Eukaryota, Metazoa, Chordata, Actinopteri, Salmoniformes, Salmonidae. The record is from RefSeq and is a predicted model, not a curated record.
UCAUAAUAAAAUAAAAUAAAUGAUCCCCUAAUGCAUUUUAGGGUUUUCUUGCCGGCAGCUGUUGCAAUUACAAUUGGAUCAGGCUGUGAAGGAUCUGAAUGCACCAAAACCAUAGAGGUAUGUACCAGAACGGUAGACUCUGGGAAUACGAUCCAGCAGAACGCUGAUUACCUGAACCAGUUCAAAGAGAUGAACUCUCCUGCUGGGGACAGAAAACAUUGUGAUACGGGCUUGGUCUUACCCUUCAUCAGCCUCACUGGAAGUCCAAAGCAGAGGCGAAACUGUUGUAAAAAUGGUGGCGCCUGUAUUUUGGCGUGCGGCGGGCAUCCGUCAUUGGCCGGAGCUGUGAAUACGACGAACGCGUCGGAAUGGCUACUCAUACUGCAGGUGUGGAUUUGGGGUCCUGCACUGUUUCCCUCAGGUGUUCCAUGAGGACUGUGAUAAACGAUUAGACCAGCCAAUUUUUCACCAGCGUUGACGUUCCAGGACAGUUGAGGGAGUUAUUUGUGGAGGAGAGACGGUCCUAUCUGGACUUGAUAAGACAACAUGAAAGAUGCUUCCGUAUCACCUCUGUAAGUGGCAACCCUUAGUCACUGGGCAUGAACUCAGUGCUUCAAGUGGCUGAAUUCUACAGUAAGUUGUGCUUCUCUUAGCAAGGUUAAUAGGGGGUUUCGGAACUUAGCUGCCCUCCUCUAACCUCACCUCACAAACCCAUUUAGAAUUKUGAAAUAAGCCCUUUGUCUUUGGUGAAUUAAUAUAGGCCAUAUUGGAUCUAAUUCAGUGCACAUUAUAUUUUCUUGUGAAAGCACAUCAAAAUGUUUGAUUUUCAGAAGAGAAAAUGAUGCAAAUGCUGUAUUAAUGCUUCUCUUUCAAAUUGUAAUGCGUUUUUAAUCGGAUCCAUUUAUGAGAGAGAAAGGGUAGCAUCUAAAUCUCUCUCUCACACCCUCUUUUCAUCCCUAUCCUCUCACUCUCUUUUUCUGGAAGGAUCAGAGUGUCCAUCCAUUGUGACAGAGUGACAGUGGUGUAUGUAUCUGUUCUGUGGCAGUAAACAGAGGCAGAGMUUUGUAAACAGACCGGCUGGCAGCCAGGGGAUGGGAUGGGGCUGGCCGGUGGGAGUUCAUCAGGCGCGGGGUCUGAUKGUGCGUCCCAAAUGGCACCCUAUUGCCUAUAUAGUGCACUACUUUGACAUGGGUCCAUAGGGUUUUGGUUUUUAAAAAAUGCACACUACAUAGGCAAUAGGGUACUAUAUAGGAAAAAGUGUGCCACUUGGGAUGCACUUUAAGACGGGAWUCUAAACAACACAAGGAGGAGAGGAUGGGAUAGCAGGGGAGUGCURUGUGACUUACACCCACACAGCAGACAACAUUAUACAUCACACUGGCAGGGGACGUAUUUACCCUUAACAAGCUGCUGGGGAAGGGGUUGGAGAGGUUAGAGAGAGAGGAGAGCGAGGGCGGGGGGGGUGUAACCUAUAAUGAAAUUAAACACUUUUCCAAGAUACUGUACUGGAAUCUGUUUAUGACCGCCCCCCCUCCUCUUGCUAUCCCCUUUCUCUGAGGGUGAGGUCUUUAUCUGUGCUCCCCUCCUUGAGGGUCCAUGCCAGGCCCUGGCAAUACUCCUCCUCAGGGCCAUCUGGUUUCCUUCAAGAUGCCAGCGGCUCCAGAGAAGAGGACCGUCCAGGGGAGGAAGAGAGAAGACCAGAAGGCUGUCACCAAUUCUUAACCCCUGUAUAGACAGAGACUUGUCAAAGAAACGCAAUUUGAUGUUAUUUUAAAGGACAAAGAAAUGUGCUUUUCUUUCAAAAACAAGAACAUUUCUAAGUGACCCCAAACUUUUGAACAGUAGUGUAUAUUUGACAAGCACGUCCCUUAUUCCACCACUUGGCACUGUGCGUACGCAUGGGCACGACUGUACAUACAUUUAUGCACACUCUCAUGCAAACGGUCAUAUUGAUACAUCUCCCUCUUUGCGUGGAAUUUAUUUCAGGCAUGGUUAACACACAGAUGUGUGCCUAUGCAUGAUUGGUAAAUGAAACUCUGGUCUGCCCUAGAAAGCCUAUGUAAAUGACGGUCGCCAGAACAGCGAAACAAAAUCAAAUAAAUGAGCCAAAUCAUAGGAAUACGUGGAUGAUUUCAGCGCUAUCACUAUCUACUGGUUUUAAUGUAUAUGGUAUUGUCAGACGUAAUGAAUAGGCUUGUGGGUAACAUGCUGACCCCACACCACUCGGGUCRCGCACGYGCCAGUGWUGCAAAAUAAAUGUACACAUACAUGUUAUUCAAUCAUUGCACCCACACUGCUCGYGCGCCUCAGCGAGCGUCUGCGUGGCCAGGCGUUAAAAUAGAAAUUGCUUCUAUUUGUGACGCUCAACACGCUGCAAGUCCGGCCUCUCCYAUCUCCUCAUUGGUUUUUAAGAGCAUAUACCCACGUGRGUGAUUGAAAGAUGAACUUAGGUCCACACUCCGGUCGGUUGUGGUAAUGCUGUAAAGUUGGCUGCCAGCCGCCAUAUAAAGUCCAAGGAAGAAAAAGAAGCCUGAAGGAAGGAGAUGACUAGAAACAAAUUCGG